RNAcentral lists this ribosomal RNA (484 nucleotides) under uncultured Pelotomaculum sp. Its description in RNAcentral is "bacterial SSU rRNA". It matches the Rfam family "Bacterial small subunit ribosomal RNA", at positions 903 to 1382 of the family's 1533-position model. Lineage: Bacteria; Bacillati; Bacillota; Clostridia; Eubacteriales; Desulfotomaculaceae. The record is from RNAcentral.
CUACAAAUGAAUUGAGGGGCCCGCACAAGCGGUGGAGCAUGUGGUUUAAUUCGACGCAACGCGAAGAACCUUACCAGGGCUUGACAUCCCCUGACCGCGUAUGAAAGUACGUUUUCACCCUCGGGUGACAGGGAGACAGGUGGUGCAUGGUUGUCGUCAGCUCGUGUCGUGAGAUGUUGGGUUAAGUCCCGCAACGAGCGCAACCCCUACGUUUAGUUGCUAACGCGUGAAGGCGAGCACUCUAGACGAACUGCCGUUGACAAAACGGAGGAAGGUGGGGAUGACGUCAAAUCAUCAUGCCCCUUAUGUUCUGGGCUACACACGUGCUACAAUGGCCGGUACAGACGGACGCAAAGCCGCGAGGCGGAGCAAAUCCGAAAAAGCCGGUCUCAGUUCGGAUUGCAGGCUGCAAUUCGCCUGCAUGAAGUCGGAAUCGCUAGUAAUCGCAGGUCAGCAUACUGCGGUGAAUACGUUCCCGGGCCUU